This 120-nucleotide small nucleolar RNA is filed under the name Cavia aperea (Brazilian guinea pig). Its description in RNAcentral is "Small nucleolar RNA SNORA77 (ENSCAPG00000000632.1)". The record is from RNAcentral. Lineage: Eukaryota; Metazoa; Chordata; Mammalia; Rodentia; Caviidae.
GCUGUUACCUGUGCAUGUUAAUGAUGGUUUACCAUUGUUCUGACUGCCAGAAAAAAAUACUGGUUCUGUGACUGCCUUGACCUUAGGUAGGGGGUGAUACAGUUACCCAUGGACACAGGG